Molecule: long non-coding RNA, 1549 nt
Organism: Melopsittacus undulatus (budgerigar)
Lineage: Eukaryota; Metazoa; Chordata; Aves; Psittaciformes; Psittaculidae
Exons: 2
Source: RefSeq, a predicted model, not a curated record
CCCCGCCCCGCCGCCGCCGUCACAUGGAGGGGCCGGGCAGCGCCCGCCCCCUGCCGCCGCGCCCCUGACCAUAGAGGUGGGCCUCCAGGCCCUGAGACUGCAUCUCCUUUGAACACCGUGGCCUUCGUUUCCGAAACCCCAAAGCUGCUGCCUUGACCACUCCCAAGUGAUGACGGAAUGGUUUGGGCUGGAAGGCACCUUUGAAGACCUCUUAAUUCCAGCCCCGUGCCACCGGCAUGGACACCUUCCACUAGACCAGGUUGUUCCAAGCCCCGUGCUGACUGGCCCUGCUGGCAUCAUCCCUUCUGAGCUCCACUACAAGCACUGGUGAUAAUCCCUGCUCCUCACUGCACCCAGGCAAGUCUCCCCAACUCAUACAGCUCUGCCUGACUCUUCCAACCAAAUUUGCUUCUUAAAGAGAUUCUAUGAUUUUAAAACAAAGAUAAAGCUAUCCUGCUGAGCAGUUCCUAUGCUUUAACCUUUGCUAUAUUGCACAGGACCAAAGAGAGAAUUGAAGCUAGCAGCUGACUGGCUGAUUGAAGAGCUGUGACUGGUAUGGAGUGUCUGAUGUUCUGGCCUAGCAAGGCUCUUUCAAACAAGUUUUACUGGGUGUAGCAUAGAAAGAGCUUCUUAACAACAUCCUGCACACAAGAAGGUACCUUCCUAUUCUGCCUUCUCCAUAGGGUCAGUUAUGGGAAAUGCUUCCCUGUGCCUGAAUUGCCACACCAUUUUCAAGAGUGGGGUACAAGGAACACAAAUCCAAAAAUCCAGUUCCACACCUCAGAAUAUUAAAAGCCAUUACAUAAAAUGGUGUAGUUGCAAAUCUGAGUUAUGAUUUCAAUGAUAAUAAAAGGUUUCUGCAUAACUCCAUUCCUCUUUACAAGCCAUAACAGGUAAAACAGAUGUAAUGUGAUUCUUGCAUCAAUAGAGUUAUUAAAUCCCAAUAGGUUUUUUUUAUCAUAGUGAUGCUUUACCUGGAGACACAGUUUGACAUUCCUGGGGUCAAGCUGAGUUUAUGUGCCUGAUUGUUAUAAAAUGCUUUAAGAGUUUGUUACAGUAUCUUUACAUCCAUUCUGUGCAGAUCUAAUGUAAUUAUUGGUGAGAGAUAAUAAAAUAUAGAAUCUGAGAUUGUAGUUUGUAUUGCCCCUUUCCAGCACUGCAACCACAUGUUAACCACAGUAUCCUUCCUGUUGUUUGUGGAAUGGAAACGGUCAAAAAAUAACCUUUAAAAGAGAAAAAAUAAGCACAAUGAACAACAAACAAUAGUUUACCUCCAAGAGAGGAAAUAAACCCCAACACUGAGUAUUUUGUGUGGGCCCAAAAUCUGGUGUUCUUCUCUGGUUCAGCAAAGACACCGAACUAUGCAACUUCUGCCGAGCCCUACCUACCAAGAAAGGAAGUGAGAUCUACUUUGCUCACAGAAAACAAGAGCCUAGCUGUGUGGGUUGCAUGGCACUUUCACUGUUUAGAUGGUAAAAGAAAAUUACUGUAAUUGUUUAUGACGUGUAUCAAAACCUGCUAAGCCUGAAGUAAAUGACAGAAGUCUCAC